Molecule: ribosomal RNA, 432 nt
Filed under: uncultured bacterium
Lineage: Bacteria
Description: bacterial SSU rRNA
Rfam family: Bacterial small subunit ribosomal RNA
Source: RNAcentral
AAUCAACGCUGGCGGCGUGCCUCAGACAUGCAAGUCGAACGCGAAAGAGGGCUUCGGCCCUUGAGUAGAGUGGCGCACGGGUGAGUAACACGUGGGUAAUUUACCUCUGGGUGGGGAAUAACAGUCGGAAACGGCUGCUAAUACCGCAUAAUGCAGCGGCUCCACAUGGAGACAGUUGUUAAAAGCGGGGAGCGAGCAAUCGCCCUCGCGCCUGAAGAGAAGCCCGCGGCAGAUUAGCUAGUUGGUGAGGUAAUGGCUCACCAAGGCUUCGAUCUGUAGCCGGCCUGAGAGGGCGGUCGGCCACACUGACACUGAAUAACGGGUCAGACUCCUACGGGAGGCAGCAGUCGGGAAUUUUGGCAAUGGCGCAAGCCUGACCCAGCAACGCCGCGUGAAGGAUGAAAUCUUUCGGGAUGUAAACUUCACAAGAAC